Molecule: long non-coding RNA, 1081 nt
Filed under: Malus domestica (apple)
Lineage: Eukaryota; Viridiplantae; Streptophyta; Magnoliopsida; Rosales; Rosaceae
Description: long non-coding RNA (MDOM_LNC009667)
Source: RNAcentral
UUUUUUGGCCGUAAAACGCCUCGAAAGCCACUAAUGUUGCCAGAAACUGGGUAAGAUUCAAAUGGAUAUAACUUCUUCAAUACUUAACGAAAUUGGAUGAAAAAAAAAAAAGUUGUAUUACUCAGUGAGACAAAGAGAUUGAUACCUUGCACACAGGCCAACUCGCCGUAAUUUGGCCGGAAAAUGCUUCGAAAGUGGCGGUGCUCGUCGAAAAAUUUAGAAAAGCUACUCCAAGCUAUUUUUUGCGAUUCAAACGUAUACACCACUUAAAACAAGCUUCAAUAUAACCCUAAAACACAACUCAAGGGCUUCUAGAAGCUUACCAACGUCGAAACGAUACGAAACUCGACGGAGAAGAUGAUGAACAGUACCGACCGAAAGGAAGAGAAGGGUUUGGGGGUGUUCUUUCUUCGAUUCUAAGCUCACUAGGGUGCUAAUGGAAAUGUUGAUGUUGUUGUGGUGAUGUUUGUUGGUAAGAAAAGCUCUCGGAGGGGCUGAGAUAGAGAGAGCCGAGAGAGAGAGAUGAGGGAGAGUGAGGGAGAAGAGAGAAAGAGGAAGAUUUUCAUAAAAAUAAAAGAAAAAGGAAAGGGAACGGGGACAAAACAGGGGGUGGGCUCUUUGGACACAUCAUUUAAGACCUAAAAAUCAUUUUAAAAGCAAGAUAAACUCAAACUUAGUGAAAAUACAAUUUAAAUUAGGGGUGUGUGUAACAUAGCAUCAUGUGAAAACAACUAUAUAAGGAACAUUGGUAUCAUGUAAAUUUUUGUUAUUAAAUGCAUAGGAAUCAUGACAUUUAAAUUUUUUUCCAAAUCCCCAUAAGGUAUUUGAAGACAUUUAAUUGAAUGAAAUAAUGUAAGAUAAAUGUAGAUAAUAAGUGAGAGACCCAAAGUAGUGUUAUUAGGGGUAAUUUAGACAUCCAAAAAUACCAUAGUGAAGGAAAGAAUUCUAUUUGCUAUAGAAAAAUUAUAGUUUUGAUACCUUACAAAGGUAAUUUGUUUUAAAAGAUUGAAAGCCAGCGGUUUUCAAUCUUGAAAUUCCACAGCAUCCUUUGAAAAAUAGCGACCAUGAUCGGAUAGAACUA